CCUCCUGAGCCAGUCUCUUGGCCUCGUGGCUGGGAGGGACCUGGAGAGCAGGCUUUACUGGAGGGCUUCUCAGGGCUGGAGCCAAGAGACCCCCAUCAGGACAACCUGGGGGGGGGCUGUUUUUAGUUUAGUUUUUUGUUUUGUUUUGGUUGUUUCUAGUCGAUUCAGUUCAGAAUCCCAUUGUCUCACGGUGACCCAGGGCCCUGCUUUCACGUGAUUCUUUGGUUUUAAUACUGAUAUUUAGGUUCCUCCUGUUCUAAUUUCAGGGGCCUAGGAUACAGCCUGGACAUCAGUGUUUGGACAGCUCCCCAGAGAAAAGAGAUUUGAUUUGCAGCAUUUGCUGACGUCUGUGAUGUCAACACUCUCAUCAUGGCCUGUUUCAGGCCACCAACAUGAUAUUCCUGAACACAGCACUGGGAUGAGAGGCACAACUGGCUUCCCAGCCAGCAGCGGGGGACACAGCACAGCACAGCACCUGAGGCAGGCUCCAAGGCCCGGGCUGAAGGAGGUGCGGGCUGAGGACCGUGGGCUGAGGACCGCAGCCUUAAUUGGCAUCACAUGGGAACUGGCUGCAACUGCAGAACCUCAGGUUCACCCAGACCUACUCAAUCCCUGCCUGCACCGGAACCAAACCUGCAGGUGAUUCUUGAGCACAUUCAAGUUUGAGAAUCAUGGCUACAGGAAAUGGAGGUUCAAACAAACUUUUCUGAGGCUCUAGAGACAGACAUGACCCUGGCUAGAGGGUCAGAGAAGCCUUCUUGGGAGAAGUGGCAUCAAAAUUCAGUUUCAAAGAAUGAGAGUGGAUUUCCAGUACUGGGGAGCACCCCAGGGUCUAGUGCAUGCUACACAAGUGUUGUAGCACUGAGGACUUUGUUUGCCAUGGAUCACAGCCUCAGUCACCAGGACACAAUCUUGGGCAGUCAUAGGCAAUUCAUGUGCCCAUUCUGCAGUGUCGCAUCACCCACUCCUGUGGUUCAGCCCUGAGCCCCGAUUUUGAGAGGCAGACAACUUGCUGCAGGUCUGUGAUGCUGAGUGGGCCCAGCACUGACGGAGGUGCCUAGGUCGGAAGCAUCCCCCACCCCGCAUCCUGGCCUUCCUCUGGGGAACUCAUACUGGCUCCUGAGCUUGGUGGACAGGCCACUUUCCCCUGCCGCGCUCUUCCCAGCCAGCUAUUCCCCACCACAGGACCCACACCCCCUCAGCCUUCCCCAGCAGCGCUGCUCAAACUCUAACUGCUUAAGUGUCUCUUCACAAGGCUGGGACCUUGUAAAUCUUAGAGUGGCAUCCCCAGCACCCUGCCCCAUGUCACCACCAUUCCAGGAGCUCGCCCUGAUGGACAGAGCACUCACUGUGUGAGUGCAAAGGGCUUCACCAGCCCUGUGUCACUUAAACCUGGCGACUGCUCUCGGAGAUGGAUACUCUAAUUUUUAUCCCAUUCUACAGAAGAGGAGACUGAGGCCCAGGAAACAAUACAUGGCCUAGAGCCACAUGGCUGGAAAGCCUCAGGCAGCCAAGCUCCAACAGAAAAAGCACCUUUUGUGGUUGUUCUUGUGUCAGAAGCAACUUCGCUGUCCCUGGUUGUAUUUCCUCUCACUGAGGAAGGACCUGGCAGAACUGAGCCUUGUGUAAGACCGGGGAAUGCUUCAUUUGGGGCACAAGAAGCCAGUGUGUCUGCUGCAACUCAGCGAUGGCCUAGGAGAGGGGCUGGCCCUGCAGGCCCCUGCCUGGCAGUGCCUUUUAGUUCUCCCUGCUCCACUGCUGUAGCCAUUAGAGCUGCAAAUUAGCAUCGUAAUUGCCUUUUAACUAUUCAUAGCUGUGAAGGAGCCCAGGUGGGCCCUGCCUCUCCACAGCCUUUCCCUGCCUAGAGGGCUGCAGUUGGCCUCCCUCCCAGGCCUGGGACCCCCCUGCCCACCCUCUGGAGAAGCAGCUUCACAUUUCUGAGCCUCAGUUUCUCCAUCUCCAAGGUGAAGAUGAUGAUGGAAGCUUCAAAGACUUCUUGUGCACAAAAAAUGCCCUGCUCCGUUCCUGGCACACGGUAAUGACAGCAAUUAGGAUAGGCCUUGUUUUGUCUGAAGUGGGAGUGGUGGUGAGGAUAUGCAAAUCAGUGGCAUAGCCAGGGAGAGCCUUCCAGGGGCCUUUGGACUCUGGGCUCAGGGCUCUUCUCACUCCCAGCCUGUCAAUUCUUACUCUUAUCCUUUCCUGGCCAGCAACAGUUGCACCCAAGAGCGGGCAGGAAAUGAGACCUUGCCUAGAGACCGUCAGCUUUCUCAUAAAUCAAAAAUGUUUUAUUAUAAGGCAACCAGACCCUAAUUAACAGAGGGGAUUAACUCAACUGGGCUGCAACUGUGGGGUCAUCUAGUUUGUCCCUUAAAAGUGUGAACUAAGCCAGGCCGGGUGGCACAGCCUCUAAUCCCAGCAACUAGAGAAUCCCAAAUUCACCUCUGCAAUUUAACAAGACUGUGCCACAAAAUAAAAAUACAUAUUUAUAAAAACAAAACAAAACCAUGAACACUGACAUUUGAGACUCAGCAGAGUAGUGGUUAAAGGGCACUGAUGAUGAAGCCCAUCUGCAUAGGUUCAAAUCCAGUCCUGCUAUGCCUGUAUGUGACCUUAGGCCAGUUAAUUAACCUCUCUGUGCUUUGUUUCCCACUCUGCAGAAUAAGAAUGAUGAUGAUAAUGUCAUCCCUAAAGGGUAGUUGUGCAGUGUGUGCCGGGCUUCUGUAGGGUGGUAUGUGAAGCACCUGGAACAGCACUGAGAUGUAGUAAGCACUAGGCCAGUGUUUGCGUUUAUUACUUAGCAGGUGUCCUUGUUGACCUGCUUGUGUGACCUCUAACGCAGCUUAAGGAGGGAGUUUCUGCAUCAGCAAGAUUUUCCUAAGGCCAGUCACUGUCAUGUGGAGCAGGGACAGGUGCUCUUUUUGUUCUUGGUUUUCACUCAAAUCGGACAAAGUCCAGGAGGGGAGAGUUGUAGGUUAGCCCCAUUUAUUUAUGGGGAAACUGAGGCUCAGGAAGAUCAAGCAAUUUUCCCAAGGUCAUACAGACUGUAGUGAAGGAUGCAUUGCAUGCCUUGGAAGAGAGGGGAAGGAAUUGGGUGAUAUCCCAAGAAUGCGGGAGCUGGGGGGAAUUGCACUAUGAUCGCUGGUCCGGGAGGGCCUCUGAUUAAGAGUUGCCCUGGUAGGGACGCUGCUGGGGUCCUGGGCUGAGACCGGUCACAUAGUUGUUCCCCUCACCCCGCACCCCGUACUGGGGAUCGAACUCAGGGGCACUCAGCCACUGAGCCACAUCCCCAGCCCUAUUGUGUAUUUUAUUUAGAGACAGGCUCACUGAUUUGCUUAGCGCCUUCCUUUUGCUGAGGCUGGCUUUGAACUCAACAAUCCUCCUGCCUCAGCCUCCUGAGCCGCUGGUAUCACCAGCGUGAGCCACCGUGCCUGGCCACAUAGGGUCUUAUAAACCGCGGUGAGGAGUCGGGAAUUUCGACGAACCUGAUAGAAUGGCCCAACCCAGUAUCAUGGGACACUGUCUAUGUCCAGAAAUAUUCCAGGUUGCGCUCAAUCUGCAAAGGUAUUACAGCCCUUGGGGACCAAAAGGGACAUCACAUUCUAGAGCUCCAGGGUCCAACACUGGGGUGAUUCCCCAGCCUCCGGGCAGAGACCUACUCCUUGUGCAGGUGCGGGACCCUUAGCGAUCUCGCUCUCCGCUCCGCCCUCCUCCAAGUGUGUGUGUGGGGGCAGGGAGGGGCGCCAAGGGCGCGAUCAGCGUCCUGCAGGUCCCGCCAUUGUUUAAUGGCUGUGCUUUUUUUCUUUUCUCGGCAAUCAACAAUUUUCUGCUCCGCUCCGCGCGGGCGGGCAAAUGCAAAGCGGGCUUCUUCCUCGUCGUCCCGAUUACUGCGAGUGAACCCCGCGCAGAUGGUCUCGAUGGACGCGGGCUUCGGGCGCCUUUUCCGGGCAUCGCACCCGAAGGCUCCCACAAAGAUCCACGGCCCGGCCAGCGCCCGCCCGCAGGGUCGGGGUCCAGCCCGCGCCCUCCUUCCCGCAGGGACCCACGUCCCACUGGGUCUGCAGCAGCCGCCAGCCCGCCGCGCAGGCGCAGUGCGCGCGAGAUCCUGGGGACCGUCCUCCAGCGCCGCGCUCCAGCUGCGGCCCAUUACAGCGCUUUUGUUCUCAGUGGCUCCUGCGCUGUCGCUGAUCUCUGCCCCAGUCCCUUUCCCUGCCCCGGGUGAGGAGGGAGAAAACAGCGGAUACCGUUGCACUGUGCCCAGUGCGACUCCCAGCCCAGAGCUCGCCACUUCAUUGGUUCCUUCGCUCGGUGCGGUGCGGGCGUCUAGUUAAAAAUCUGAGGAGGAUUCUCAGGGCACCCCGAAAACCAGCCUGUAGGAUCCAAGAAAGCCUCCCGGAGGAGGAGGAGGAGAAUCUCACAGCCCAGGGUGGAUUCGGGGAGGGCUGGGGUUGGGGAGCUCUGGGCAAAGCAUUUGGCACCUUACCUGGUGUCAACCUGGGUCCACAGGGAGACCAGGGGUGGGGAUGGGCAGGGGCUUUUGGUCACAUUUGUGUUCUAGAAAGAUCCCUCUGCCUUUGGGAUGGGUGAGAGUGAAACGGGAGACCAGGGACCAGAGAGAAGGCGACUUCUGUGGUCCAGGUGGGAGAGGGUGAUGACCUAGGUGGGGUGGGUCUGCAGGACAGAGAGGAGAUGACCAGAACUGUUCAGGAAGACCACAGAACUGGGAGCUGGCUGUUUAGGGGUGAGGCAGGAAAUGAGGACAAGCUCAGGAUUGUGACUUCACGACCUUGUGAAUGGUGGCCACUCCUGAGUCGCUGGGUUCCUGCUGGGGCAGCUUCUUCCAUGCCCAUCCCCCCUUUCCUCAGGGCCUCUGUCCCGGUCUUCUCGGAGGCCUUGACCGCUUUUGUGAGAUUGCCCUCCAUUCCUUACCCUGCCCACCAUUUCUUCACUGCACUGACCACCAAAGCUGUAUUUGGACUCAUCUGUUGGUUUCUUGUCUGUCUCUUUGAGGACAGGAGCUUUGUUCUAUUUGCAGUAUCUGGAAACUGGAGCAGCAUUGCCUCCUGUCCAUCAGGUGAAUAAAUGAAGGAGGCAGUUCAGGCUCUAGGCCUUGCUGGUGUAUCAAGCAUCCUGGGCUCAGCACUCAAUAGCAAUGUAUUCAAUAAGUGCAUGAAUAAAUGGUUCUUUAAAACCUAACAGAUGAUAUACACAGUCAGGGCAUGAGAAGAGAUGCCAUCAAGACAACAGAUUAGUUGUAGCCAGCGUUUAUUGAGUGCCUCCUUCUCCCUAGGGUUAUCUCAUUUAGUCCUCACGUCAGCCCUAUAAGGGAAGGACUGUUGGUGGCCCCAUGACGUAGAUAAGGAAACUGAGGUCCAGAGAGGUAGAAUAAUAUAUCCAAAUCUACACAGCCACUAAGUGGCAGAGCCAGUGUCUGAACCCAAGAAGUUGGCUUCAAGGCCGCCCUGCUGCCAAGUCACAGCACAGUACAUGAAUACUGCAGCUUGAUGGAGAAGGUCACAGCCAUGCUCACACUCGCUGCAAUGCUCCUGCUAGCUAAAGGAUUCUUCCACAAGGGUCAGAGGCCCCACAUUGUCCUGGCCAGGCCCCAAAAGGCAGCAAACUUCAAAGAGAAAAGAGAGGCUGGCACCAGGUCAACCUAUACUGGCCUUUGCAAUGGGAUCAUCACUCUACUUCGUGUACGUUCCAAAAUUUAAUCUUUGCAGGAAAGUCUGGGAGGCUCCCGCCAUUAUCACUAGCCCCAUUUUCCAAAUGGAGAAGGUGAGGCACAGGGAGGUUAACCAGCUGACCUACAACAACACAGCCAUUCCAUGGGGUAGCAGCUAUGCAAACCCCAGCAGGCUGGCUCCAGGUCCCACUUCUGUAUUUCCUUUGAGCUGACCACAGCAGGAGUCCAGGAAUGACCAGGGCACCCCAGGCUGACUACUCUCUGUGUCAGGUGGUGGCUAUUAGGUGUCAUUAGAGCAGUGUUUACCCAAGGGCAUCCUGCCUCUGCCUGGUGAGGGGACAGCCCCUGGGAGCAUCAUCAACCCAGCCGAGGUUGAAUGGAGAUAUCAAUCGGCACCCUCCAUCCCUGUCACUGAACAUCCUGUAUUCAAUCACCCACAUAUUCAUCUCUUUUAAUCAUUCUCUUCUCGAUUGUGAUAAAGUCAUCUUUAUAGCACUGAGAACGUGCAUUUCAUUUGAAUUAAGUCUGCUGAAGUUGAUCAGUUUGUGUUGGAGAAUCAGGCUGAUAAAGGAAGACAUCUUUCAACAGUCCCUUCCUUUUUAACUGAUUGUUCUCCGAGAAGCUAUUAAGAGAGUCUCGUUGGGGUAUGUGGGAUGAUCAGCAUAGAAUCCCACUUCUAGGACUCUAGGAUACUAAGAAGACCACCUAGAGGCCUGUCCAUAUAGAAAGGGUCUGGGCCUCCCUUAGAGCAAUGGUGAGGGCAACUCUGCUGUGAUCCCCAUCCGGUGGUCAUUUGCCCAACCUCUGGGGAGUGGUACCUUGGAGAGCGUAGCAUUCACUUUCAUGCACAAGGCUCUGCAAGGCCCAGCUCAUGGUCAUCAUCUCAAGCCCAACAGGGUGCAACAGCAAAGGGGAACUGUUUAUUUUCUGUUUUUUUGUGUGUGUGUGGGAGGGGGGAGAUAUGGGGAUUGAGCUCAGGGGCACUCAACUACUGAGCCACGUCCCCAGCCCUAUUUUGUAUUUUAUUAGAGACAGGGCCUCA
Non-coding RNA from Ictidomys tridecemlineatus (thirteen-lined ground squirrel), 6725 nucleotides. The record is from RefSeq and is a predicted model, not a curated record. NCBI's taxonomy places the organism in Eukaryota, Metazoa, Chordata, Mammalia, Rodentia, Sciuridae.